This 301-nucleotide ribosomal RNA is filed under the name uncultured bacterium. RNAcentral describes it as "partial 16S ribosomal RNA". It matches the Rfam family "Bacterial small subunit ribosomal RNA", at positions 509 to 807 of the family's 1533-position model. The record is from RNAcentral.
CAGUAGCCGCGGGAAUACGUAGGGUGCAAGCGUUAAUCGGAAUUACUGGGCGUAAAGCGUGCGCAGGCGGUUUUGUAAGUCUGUCGUGAAAUCCCCGGGCUCAACCUGGGAAUGGCGAUGGAGACUGCAAGGCUAGAAUCUGGCAGAGGGGGGUAGAAUUCCACGUGUAGCAGCGAAAUGCGUAGAUAUGUGGAGGAACACCGAUGGCGAAGGCAGCCCCCUGGGCUAAGAUUGACGCUCAUGCACGAGAGCGUGGGGAGCAAACAGGAUUAGAGACCCCCGUAGUCCCUGUCUCUUAUAC